This 254-nucleotide ribosomal RNA is filed under the name uncultured prokaryote. Its description in RNAcentral is "partial 16S ribosomal RNA". It matches the Rfam family "Bacterial small subunit ribosomal RNA", at positions 524 to 775 of the family's 1533-position model. The record is from RNAcentral.
UACGGAGGAUGCGAGCGUUAUCCGGAUUUAUUGGGUUUAAAGGGUGCGUAGGCGGCCGAGUAAGUCAGCGGUGAAAUUUUGUCAGCUUAACUGUAACAGUGCCGUUGAUACUGCAUGGCUAGGAUUUGGUUGCUGUGGGUGGAAUGUGUGGUGUAGCGGUGAAAUGCUUAGAUAUCACACAGAAUAUCAAUUGCGAAGGCAGCUCACAAAAGCCAAGAUUGACGCUGAGGCACGAAAGUGUGGGGAGUCAAACA